AGAGUUUGAUCCUGGCUCAGAUUGAACGCUGGCGGCUGGCCUAACACCAUGCAAGUCGAGCGGAUGACGGGAGCUUGCUCCUUGAUUCAGCGGCGGACGGGUGAGUAAUGCCUAGGAAUCUGCCUGGUAGUGGGGGACAACGUUUCGAAAGGAACGCUAAUACCGCAUACGUCCUACGGGAGAAAGCAGGGGACCUUCGGGCCUUGCGCUAUCAGAUGAGCCUAGGUCGGAUUAGCUUGUUGGUGAGGUAAUGGCUCACCAAGGCGACGAUCCGUAACUGGUCUGAGAGGAUGAUCAGUCACACUGGAACUGAGACACGGUCCAGACUCCUACGGGAGGCAGCAGUGGGGAAUAUUGGACAAUGGGCGAAAGCCUGAUCCAGCCAUGCCGCGUGUGUGAAGAAGGUCUUCGGAUUGUAAAGCACUUUAAGUUGGGAGGAAGGGCAGUAAGUUAAUACCUUGCUGUUUUGACGUUACCGACAGAAUAAGCACCGGCUAACUCUGUGCCAGCAGCCGCGGU
Molecule: ribosomal RNA, 519 nt
Filed under: Pseudomonas sp. Hugh2769
Lineage: Bacteria; Pseudomonadati; Pseudomonadota; Gammaproteobacteria; Pseudomonadales; Pseudomonadaceae
Description: bacterial SSU rRNA
Rfam family: Bacterial small subunit ribosomal RNA
Source: RNAcentral